GUUUGGUGGCGAUAGCGAAGAGGUCACACCCGUUCCCAUACCGAACACGGAAGUUAAGCUCUUCAGCGCCGAUGGUAGUCGGGGGUUUCCCCCUGUGAGAGUAGGACGCCGCCAAGCA
RNAcentral lists this ribosomal RNA (118 nucleotides) under Bacillus subtilis subsp. subtilis str. SC-8. The record is from RNAcentral. RNAcentral also lists the same sequence under 1 other name. Lineage: Bacteria; Bacillati; Bacillota; Bacilli; Caryophanales; Bacillaceae.